Pseudophryne corroboree (corroboree frog) is the source of this 2066-nucleotide long non-coding RNA. RefSeq lists it as uncharacterized. NCBI's taxonomy places the organism in Eukaryota, Metazoa, Chordata, Amphibia, Anura, Myobatrachidae. The record is from RefSeq and is a predicted model, not a curated record. The transcript has 3 exons.
GUGUAAGUACAGAAUGAGGCACGGCGUCUCUGCAGCACGGCGUAAGUACAGUAUGCGUCAUAUCGUUACGUACGGCAGCGCGAGUUGUAGGAACGGAACUCGGUUGUUAAGUGAGGAGCAUCUGGAGUUGGAGUUGAAGGUCUGGCAUGCUGACUCCACAGCGCUGAAGGACAUACUGUAGCAGAUUUCUUGCAGAGAAAUAAAACUAUAUUAAAAAAGCGCACAAAUGAUGGGUGUUGAAGUACAUGAUGGUAAAGCAACGCACCAUGAGUAAAACGUCCGAAGACCCUCCGUGAGUGUCCUGAUUUCUACAGAGGAGAAAGAGAAGCAAUUGAGUUAAAGGCCAAAUAACUAGGUGUUCAUUGAAUGUAUGGACAACCCUUCAUUGAUCCUGACUACGCUUCACAAUCUAAUCUACUGCAGAAGAUCCAGUUGGUAGAAGAUUUACAUUGCAUCAAUUAAUAAUGACUCCAGCAGGAAUUCUUGUACCAUUGUCAUGGCAAUGGCCGCUAGCCCUGUCACCAUCACUUAAGGAGUUUAAAGCUCUACAAUAAUGUGCAGAAACAUGAAGUAAUGAUCCCCUAUAAAAAGGUGGGUGUAGCAAUUAUUCUGCAAGUGUUCCUAUUUUACUAGCAGGUUAGUUAUAGGUCUCCGCGGUGCUGAUGGUUACAGAUCUGGUCGUUAAUAGAAUAUAGGUAUGCUGAUCUUUAGCAGGACAUAAGUGGCAUAAAGAAUGUGCAACGUGAGGCUUGUAUGAACAUACAGAAAGUGCUAUCAGAAAACCAUAUUACGCAAGAACAUCAUGUUGCAAAAUGAAGCUGUAGCCCAGGUGUGUAUAUAUAUAUAUAUAUAUACUGUAUCAGGGCUUGACAAUUUUUUCUAACAUCUAGGAGCCCGAUCACCAUGAACACCCCCACCCACCUCACACAUAAUAAAAUAUCCCCACCCAACGCCCUCCCGCCUGCAGCAACACUACUGAGCAGCUUCCUCCCAACCCCGAGCAAACUAACCCCCCAGACACACAACUAAGAGGGUAGCCCCCAGCAAACCAGCCUUCCGCAGACAUAUUGCUAUACAGCUACCCCAAGGCAAACGACAAUCAGCCCUCCCUGUAGCCACAUAACUACUAUCAUAUGCACAAUGGGCCUGAUUCAGAUGUGGUUGGAGUAGCAGCGUAUGCCGCAAAGUACCAAGGGCCCUCAUUCCGAGUUGUUCGCUCGCUAGCAGAUUUUAGCAGCAUUGCACACGCUAGGCCGCCGCCCUCUGGGAGUGUAUCUUAGCUUAGCAGAAUUGCGAACGAAAGAUUAGCAGAAUUGCGAACAGAAAAUUCUUAGCAGUUUCUGAGUAGCUCGAGACUUACUCCUACACUGCGAUCAGCUCAGCCCGUUUCGUUCCUGGUUUGACGUCACAAACACGCCCUGCGUUCGGCCAGCCACUCCCCGUUUCUCCAGACAUUCCCGCGUUUUUCCCUGACACGCCUGCGUUUUUCCGCACACUCCCAGAAAACGGCCAGUUUCCGCCCAGAACACCCACUUCCUGUCAAUCACACUCCGAUCACUUCAACGAUGGAAAUUCUUCGGUCGGACAUGAGUAAAUCUACUAAGUUUUGAGCUAAAAUACUUCGCGCAUGCGCAUUGCGUACCGUGCGCAUGCGCAUUUUCGCCUUAAUCGCUCCGUUUCGCUCCGUUGCGAAAAUCGGCAAAGAGCAAACAACUCGGAACGACCCCCAAUGUUCGGUACUUUGCGCAUUUGCAGUACAGGCCUGCGCUGUCAGUCUCACCAUGGCAUCAGACUGUUUCUCCAAACGGAAGCGUUUCACUGCCAUUACAGGGGAGGGGUGAGGCCAGGAUCUCUAUCAGAGGAUGGAGAUUUCCUGGCCUUUAGGUAGGACUUGCUGCAGUCGACUUGCAUGACCCCAUGUGGCCACAAAAUGUUAUUAUAAACAACAAGCUUUAAUCCACAGCACCCAGCAUCUGCCUGAGGUAUGUGACCACACCAUAUACUGUAUAUAUUUUAAUACAGAAGUGUUGUUUCUUUUUUGCUGCAUAAAACAUUUUUUCCAAAUA